This 531-nucleotide ribosomal RNA is filed under the name uncultured bacterium. RNAcentral's name for it is "bacterial SSU rRNA". It matches the Rfam family "Bacterial small subunit ribosomal RNA", at positions 778 to 1304 of the family's 1533-position model. The record is from RNAcentral.
AUAGAUACCCAGGUAGUCCACGCCCUAAACGAUGUCUACUAGUUGUUGGUGGAGUAAAAUCCAUUAGUAACGCAGCUAACGCGUGAAGUAGACCGCCUGGGGAGUACGGUCGCAAGAUUAAAACUCAAAGGAAUUGACGGGGGGCCCGCACAAGCGGUGGAUUAUGUGGAUUAAUUCGAUGCAACGCGAAAAACCUUACCUGGCCUUGACAUGCCACUAACGAAGCAGAGAUGCAUUAGGUGCCCGAAAGGGAAAGUGGACACAGGUGCUGCAUGGCUGUCGUCAGCUCGUGUCGUGAGAUGUUGGGUUAAGUCCCGCAACGAGCGCAACCCUUGCCAAUAAUUGCCAUCAUUCAGUUGGGCACUUUAUUGGGACUGCCGGUGACAAACCGGAGGAAGGUGGGGAUGACGUCAAGUCCUCAUGGCCCUUAUGGCCAGGGCUUCACACGUAAUAUAAUGGUCGGUACAGAGGGUAGCCAAGCCGCGAGGUGGAGCCAAUCCCGAGAAAGCCGAUCGUAGUCCGGAUUGCAGU